UGACUCUGCCCUGGGAGACAGUAGUG
Molecule: non-coding RNA, 26 nt
Filed under: Rattus norvegicus (Norway rat)
Lineage: Eukaryota; Metazoa; Chordata; Mammalia; Rodentia; Muridae
Source: RNAcentral